RNAcentral lists this ribosomal RNA (467 nucleotides) under uncultured bacterium. RNAcentral describes it as "partial 16S ribosomal RNA". It matches the Rfam family "Bacterial small subunit ribosomal RNA", at positions 28 to 507 of the family's 1533-position model. The record is from RNAcentral.
GAUGAACGCUGGCGGCGUGCUUAACACAUGCAAGUCGAACGGAAAGGCUCCUGCUUGCAGGGGUACUCGAGUGGCGAACGGGUGAGUAACACGUGGGUGAUCUGCCCUGCACUUCGGGAUAAGCCUGGGAAACUGGGUCUAAUACCGGAUAGGACCACAUUUUGGAUGGUGUGGUGGAAAGUUUUUCGGUGUGGGAUGAGCUCGCGGCCUAUCAGCUUGUUGGUGGGGUAAUGGCCUACCAAGGCGUCGACGGGUAGCCGGCCUGAGAGGGUGUACGGCCACAUUGGGACUGAGAUACGGCCCAGACUCCUACGGGAGGCAGCAGUGGGGAAUAUUGCACAAUGGGAGCAAGCCUGAUGCAGCGACGCCGCGUGGGGGAUGACGGCCUUCGGGUUGUAAACUCCUUUCGCUAGGGACGAAGCGUUUUUGUGACGGUACCUGGAGAAGAAGCACCGGCUAACUACGUG